Molecule: ribosomal RNA, 466 nt
Filed under: uncultured bacterium
Lineage: Bacteria
Description: SSU rRNA
Rfam family: Bacterial small subunit ribosomal RNA
Source: RNAcentral
AGAGCGAACGCUGGCGGCAGGCCUAACACAUGCAAGUCGAGCGCCCCGCAAGGGGAGCGGCAGACGGGAGAGUAACACGUGGGAACGUACCCUUCAGUUCGGAACAACCCAGGGAAACUUGGGCUAAUACCGGAUACGUCCGUAAGGAGAAAGAUUUAUCGCUGAAGGAUCGGCCCGCGUCUGAUUAGCUAGUUGGUGGGGUAACGGCUCACCAAGGCGACGAUCAGUAGCUGGUCUGAGAGGAUGAUCAGCCUCACUGGGACUGAGACACGGCCCAGACUCCUACGGGAGGCAGCAGUGGGGAAUAUUGGACAAUGGGCGCAAGCCUGAUCCAGCCAUGCCGCGUGGGUGAUGAAGGCCCUAGGGUUGUAAACUCCUGUCAUUUGGAACAAGUCUUACGUUAACUGCGUGGAGAUUUGAUAGUACCGAAAGAGGAAGAGACGGCUAACUCUGUGCCAGCAGCCGC